UCCUGGUGGUAAGUCUCGCUCCUGGAGUUCCCAUCUUGACCCUACAGCGGGACAUUUUGCCGCCACCUCUUUGUGUGUUGGGAAGAUGACGUCCUUUCUGCUCGUCCUGCUUCUCUGAUUGGGACAGUCUGGUUUGAAAGGGAGGAGGAGAAAUAAGAGAAAGCUCCGUGGUAAUAUACAAGACGAAAGGAAAAGAAAGACAAGUAAAAGGAAUGAUCUGCAACCACCUGGAUAUUGGAGCACAAUUGUGAGAACAACUGGAUCUGUGUCUCUGGAGAUCCCUUUGCUCAGCCAUCAGAUCAAGCAGGCAUCCAUGGUUCAGAAUGGUGAUGACCUGGGCAAGAGCUCACCAGUAAGGAGCAAAGGGGCCCGCCUGCCACUCUUAAGCAGAGCGCCUGCUGAAUCAGGAUUUCCAAGGCUCCGGCUGAGUGCCUGGCUGGGGGCUGUGUGUGCAGAUGCCACAAGAUGGACAAGACUGAGGACGCAGAUUUCCUACAACAGCAGACUUCUGAUGCCCAGGCCUCAGUUCUGAACUCUGGAGGCUACAACCUGGCCUGCUUAUAGACGGUGGACCAAAUGAAGGUGAAGAGGAGACGGAUGAGGAAACUGAAGCAACUGUUCAAGAAGAGGAUAUAAAAAGGGACAGGCAUUGAUGAUGAUAUCAGAGCUUCUUCCUGGGGAAUCUCAGCCUCACAUGAUGGAGUAUGACUAAAGGAAAAAAAUAAGGCUCUUCACAUACUUUCUUGGCAGUCUGUGAGGGUCAGGGUUGAUUUUGUGUCCCUAAAAUGUCACAUGAAGUUCAUAGGCACUUCCAAAGGGGCAGUCUAGCAAGUUAAAGAGUAGAUGUGGGGCUGUGUGGAGUCCAUUGUU
RNAcentral lists this long non-coding RNA (870 nucleotides) under Homo sapiens (human). RNAcentral describes it as "non-protein coding LINC02105:6". Lineage: Eukaryota; Metazoa; Chordata; Mammalia; Primates; Hominidae. The record is from RNAcentral.